This 2701-nucleotide long non-coding RNA is filed under the name Mus musculus (house mouse). RNAcentral describes it as "long non-coding RNA chr8:103488115-103490816". Lineage: Eukaryota; Metazoa; Chordata; Mammalia; Rodentia; Muridae. The record is from RNAcentral.
AGAUAGGGUUUUGUACAUUUAGAGGACAUUUAGAUCAUUGGAGACCUGUCCUAGAAGAGGAUAUUGAAACCCAAGUCUCUUUUCUUUUUCAUUUUUUUCUUUUCUUUUUUUUUCUUUUUGUUGUUGUUGUUGUUUUGGUUGUUUAGUUGUUUGGUUUUUCUAAGUAUCAGCUAUAGUAUUUCAGCUCCAUCAUGUUUUCUUGCAUGACAACAUACUGCCUCCUCCCUCAACCCCAAAGCCUAUAGGUAAUGUCUCUGCCUGAUCUGGGGAUAGAACCUUCAAAACUACACACCCAAAUCAACCUUUUCUCUUUGCAGGUACAGACUACAGCAACAAAAAUAUGGCACAGUUGUUGUUUCUGACCUCUAACCGGCUCCAUGUGGCACCUGAGAGAUGGAUGUAGAGCUUCAAGGCUUUCUCUAUACUGCAAAGCAAUUUAUUCUGUAGUCUAAAGAUCCAGGUCAGAUGUGUUGGUGUUACACAAGAGGGUAACUUAGAAGCUGCAGCCCCAAGUCAGGACAUUCUCUAGAGAACCAACACUAUUUGAUGCAGAAGGUAUGAGUUAAAAAUAGAGUGACUUAGGAUUUCUAUUCUAUGCACAAACAUCAUGACCAUGAAGCAAGUUGGGGAGGAAAGGGUUUAUUCAGCUUACACUUCUCAUAUUGCUGUUCAUUACCAAAGGAAGUCAGGACUGGAACUCAAGCAGGUCAGGAGGCAGGAGCUGAUGCAGAGGCCAUGGAGGGAUGUUACUGGCUUGCUUCACCUGUUUUGCUCAGCUUGCUUUCUUAUAGAACCCAAGACUACCAGCCCAGGAUAGCACCACCCACAAUGGGCCCUCCCCAAUUGAUCAGUAAUUGAGAAAAUGCCUUGCAGCUGGAUCUCAUGGAGGCAUUUCCUCAAGGGAGGCUCCUUUCUCUGUGGUAACUCCAGCUUGUGUCAAGUUGACACGCAACACCAGCCAGUACACAGAGGAAGAGCACUGGAAUGUUUUCCCGGUGGGUACCAUAUCACUGGGUGUCUGUGCUGUGUCUGCAUGCCUUCCCAAUCUCAUUCACCACCAUCCCUAUACUAAAGACAAAAUCAGGAUCUGAGUGAUUCAGUAGAAGGCAGGAGGCCUGCAGCUGUCAGCAUAGUGAAGCCAUUGUUGCUAGCCCCUCACACUGCCUGAGUAUCUGGCAAUUUCUAGUCCAACCUCAGAGCCCUUGCUGAGAAAAUCCUUGUCCCUGAGUUCUGUGUGGGCUAACUGCCAGGUUCUAUGCUCAACCUGGAGGAAGUUGGUCUAAUGGUACUUUCAGCAAGGACUGCCCUUACUUGCUCUCCCAAUCCCCUUCCAUUCAUUACAGGGCCUGAACACCCAGAGGCCCUGACACAGCACCCACAGGAGCCGUACUUUAUCUUCUGCAGGAGCUAGUGUUGCUAUCCCUGAGAAAGGCCAAGCAUUCCAGGCUCCGUCAAGGAGCCUUGCAUGACUUAUGAAGUUUAUUUAGAGCCUAGGAGUGCCUUCCCUCUGGUGCAGAGAAGCUAUGUCUCCUCCUGGCUAGAGGCCUGGACAAUUAUGUGCUGGAAGAUUGGCUGGCAAAAAGCUGCAAGGCUCUCUCCAAACUGCAAAGCAAUUUAUUCUGGAAUCUGAAGAUUCAGGCCAGGAAUGAGGGUAUUUGGGCAAGAAGGUACUGAAGACCUUAAAGAUGUUCGUAAGGAAGUAGCUCAGAUGCCUUCAAAUCUGUGCUAAGCAGAUCACUCAAAGAGAGGCAAUACAAGUAGUAACAUGCUUGCUCUCCAAACAGCAAUAGUCUUCAUUAGUCAGAAAGCUUGGUGGCUGAAUGUUUAAACCCAUUUUACUGACAAGAACAUUCUGUUGCUACUGAUGCUAAAUUCUCUAUGGAUACAGUGUUCUCUAGUCUGUACUGACAGUGAGUUACUCUGACUGUCCUGUACUUCAUUUCUUCCUUUUGAGACUCGGUUUUAAAACAGAACACAAUAAAACCACCAUUUAUUUAACAGAUGAGACAAGACUUCAAAGGAUGUUGUGGUCUGCUCAUUGAUCUGCCAACUUGAUUGGAUUAAGAAGCACCUGGGACAUUAAUAAAACACAGCUUUAGGGGUAGCUCAAGGCCUUUCUAAACACCACUAGGUCCAGCAGACUCUUAUCUAAUCAGUCUAUGGUUCUUUAUAGAAAUAAAAGAUGGUGGCAGUGCUGGGGGGCGGGCAGUGAGUGAGGAGUAGGGAGUGGCACCUGACUGGAAGAAGCAGGUCACUGGAGCUGCAUGUCCAUGGGAGGCUGUAUCAUGACCUCCCUGCUUCUUGUAUUCUCUGUUUUCUGUCUGCUACGAGUUUAAAAACCUACUCUAUCACAUGAUUCCCCUGUCAUAGUGCCCUGUCCAAGUCUACAGGGCCAGUAACCAGGCAUGUCCUGUCCCAGGGCAGUCUCAGCAGUACUCCAUAAUCCCAAGAAUCCUCUGGUUGAGCAGUUGUCUUAUACCAAGAUCUUCCUCAUUCCCUGGGAACCUCAGCCCAUGCUCCCACACUGCAGAGGGAGAAACUUUGGUGUCUGCAUUUACUCAUGCCAUUUCCUCAGUCUCUAACCCCAGCCCAUCACUCAGCUUUCAUCUUACUGUGACUUUGAAUCCAACCCAUUCCAUAGAUUCCCCCAGAUAGACAAUCUUAUUGGGCCCCAGAGGUUCAGUACAACCACAACCACCUG